This 306-nucleotide ribosomal RNA is filed under the name uncultured bacterium. RNAcentral's name for it is "partial 16S ribosomal RNA". It matches the Rfam family "Bacterial small subunit ribosomal RNA", at positions 504 to 807 of the family's 1533-position model. The record is from RNAcentral.
GACAGCAGCAGCCGCGGGAAUACCGAGGGUGCGAGCGUUAAUCGGAUUUACUGGGCGUAAAGCGUGCGUAGGCGGCUUCUUAAGUCGGAUGUGAAAUCCCUGAGCUUAACUUAGGAAUUGCAUUCGAUACUGGGAAGCUAGAGUAUGGGAGAGGAUGGUAGAAUUCCAGGUGUAGCGGUGAAAUGCGUAGAGAUCUGGAGGAAUACCGAUGGCGAAGGCAGCCAUCUGGCCUAAUACUGACGCUGAGGUACGAAAGCAUGGGGAGCAAACAGGAUUAGAUACCCCGGUAGUCCCUGUCUCUUAUAC